UUUGAUCCUGGCUCAGGAUGAACGCUAGCGGCAGGCUUAACACAUGCAAGUCGAGGGGCAGCACGUCUUCGGNNNNNNUGGCGACCGGCGCACGGGUGAGUAACGCGUAUGCAACCUACCUGUAACAGAGGGAUAGCCCAUAGAAAUGUGGAUUAAUAUCUCAUAGUUCUAUUAGAUCGCAUGAUUUGAUAGAUAAAGCUCCGGCGGUUACAGAUGGGCAUGCGUGACAUUAGCUAGUUGGUAAGGUAACGGCUUACCAAGGCUACGAUGUCUAGGGGUUCUGAGAGGAUGAUCCCCCACACUGGUACUGAGACACGGACCAGACUCCUACGGGAGGCAGCAGUGAGGAAUAUUGGUCAAUGGGCGCAAGCCUGAACCAGCCAUCCCGCGUGCAGGAUGACGGCCCUCUGGGUUGUAAACUUCUUUUGUACGGGAAUAACCCUCCGAACGUGUUCGGAGCUGAAGGUACCGUAAGAAUAAGGAUCGGCUAACUCCGUGCCAGCAGCCGCGGUAAUACGGAGGAUCCAAGCGUUAUCCGGAUUUACUGGGUUUAAAGGGUGCGUAGGCGGAUUGAUAAGUCAGUGGUGAAAGCCUGCAGCUUAACUGCAGAACUGCCAUUGAUACUGCCAGUCUGGAGUAUGGUUGAGGUAGCUGGAAUGUGUCAUGUAGCGGUGAAAUGCUUAGAGAUGACACAGAACACCGACGGCGAAGGCAGGUUACCAACCCAUUACUGACGCUGAGGCACGAAAGCGUGGGGAUCAAACAGGAUUAGAUACCCUGGUAGUCCACGCCGUAAACUAUGAUUACUAGGUGUUGGGGGUCAAAGCCCGGUGCCGCAGCUAACGCAUUAAGUGAGCCACCUGGGGAGUACGAUCGCAAGGUUGAAACUCAAAGGAAUUGACGGGGGCCCGCACAAGCGGAGGAACAUGUGGUUUAAUUCGAUGAUACGCGAGGAACCUUACCUGGGCUUAAAUGUAGAGCGACAGAUUGUGAAAGCAGUCCUUCUUCGGACGAUCUACAAGGUGCUGCAUGGUUGUCGUCAGCUCGUGCCGUGAGGUGUCGGGUUAAGUCCCAUAACGAGCGCAACCCUUAUCGUUAGUUGCCAGCGGGUCAAGCCGGGGACUCUAGCGAGACUGCCACCGUAAGGUGUGAGGAAGGUGGGGAUGACGUCAAAUCAGCACGGCCCUUAUGUCCAGGGCUACACACGUGUUACAAUGGCCGAUACAAAGGGCAGCUACUCCGCGAGGAGAUGCUAAUCUCUAAAGUCGGUCCCAGUUCGGAUUGUAGGCUGCAACUCGCCUACAUGAAGUCGGAUUCGCUAGUAAUCGCGCAUCAGCCAUGGCGCGGUGAAUACGUUCCCGGGCCUUGUACACACCGCCCGUCAAGCCAUGGAAGUUGGGGGUGCCUAAAGUUCGUGACCGCAAGGAGCGACCUAGGGUAAAACCAAUGACUGGGGCUAAGUCGUAACAAGGUAACC
This 1477-nucleotide ribosomal RNA is filed under the name uncultured bacterium. RNAcentral describes it as "16S ribosomal RNA". It matches the Rfam family "Bacterial small subunit ribosomal RNA". The record is from RNAcentral.